Molecule: unclassified non-coding RNA, 378 nt
Filed under: plant metagenome
Description: partial contains 5.8S ribosomal RNA, internal transcribed spacer 2, and large subunit ribosomal RNA
Rfam family: 5.8S ribosomal RNA (bases 1-105)
Source: RNAcentral
GAAAUGCGAUAAGUAAUGUGAAUUGCAGAAUUCAGUGAAUCAUCGAAUCUUUGAACGCAGCUUGCGCUCCUUGGUAUUCCUUGGAGCAUGCCUGUUUGAGUAUCAUGAAAUCUUCAAAGUAAAUCUUUUGUUAACUCAAUUGGUUUCUACUUUGGUAUUGGAGGUCUUUGCAGCUUCACACCUGCUCCUCUUUGUUCAUUAGCUGGAUCUCAGUGUUAUGCUUGGUUCCACUCGGCGUGAUAAGUUAUCUAUCGCUGAGGACACUGUAAAAGGUGGCCAAGGUAAACGCAGAUGAACCGCUUCUAAUAGUCCAUUGACUUGGACAAUACUUUUAUGAUCUGAUCUCAAAUCAGGUAGGACUACCCGCUGAACUUAAGC